Molecule: transfer RNA, 68 nt
Filed under: Rasbora borneensis
Lineage: Eukaryota; Metazoa; Chordata; Actinopteri; Cypriniformes; Danionidae
Description: tRNA-Ala
Rfam family: tRNA
About the family: Transfer RNA (tRNA) molecules are approximately 80 nucleotides in length. Their secondary structure includes four short double-helical elements and three loops (D, anti-codon, and T loops).
Source: RNAcentral
GGGGCCUUAGUUUAAUUAAAACGUUUGAUUUGCAAUCAUAAGAUGUAGAGUAAAAUCUGCAGGUCCUA